RNAcentral lists this ribosomal RNA (29 nucleotides) under Linnemannia hyalina. Its description in RNAcentral is "Mortierella hyalina partial 17S ribosomal RNA". Lineage: Eukaryota; Fungi; Mortierellomycota; Mortierellomycetes; Mortierellales; Mortierellaceae. The record is from RNAcentral. RNAcentral also lists the same sequence under 4 other names.
CCGUAGGUGAACCUGCGGAAGGAUCAUUC